This 471-nucleotide ribosomal RNA is filed under the name uncultured bacterium. RNAcentral's name for it is "bacterial SSU rRNA". It matches the Rfam family "Bacterial small subunit ribosomal RNA", at positions 335 to 798 of the family's 1533-position model. The record is from RNAcentral.
ACUCCUACGGGAGGCAGCAGUGGGGAAUAUUGCACAAUGGGCGCAAGCCUGAUGCAGCCAUGCCGCGUGUGUGAAGAAGGCCUUCGGGUUGUAAAGCACUUUCAGUUGUGAGGAAAGGUUAGUCGCUAAUAUCGGCUAGCUGUGACGUUAACGACAGAAGAAGCACCGGCUAACUCCGUGCCAGCAGCCGCGGUAAUACGGAGGGGGUUAGCGUUGUUCGGAAUUACUGGGCGUAAAGCGCGCGUAGGCGGACUAUUAAGUCAGGGGUGAAAUCCCGGGGCUCAACCCCGGAACUGCCUUUGAUACUGGUAGUCUUGAGUUCGAGAGAGGUGAGUGGAAUUCCGAGUGUAGAGGUGAAAUUCGUAGAUAUUCGGAGGAACACCAGUGGCGAAGGCGGCUCACUGGCUCGAUACUGACGCUGAGGUGCGAAAGUGUGGGGAGCAAACAGGAUUAGAUACCCUGGUAGGCUCU